UCUCUCGAAAAUGACCAAGCUAGCAUAUAUUCUUAUGCUAGAUCAAUGUUUGAUAAAUAUAAAUAUAUAGAUACAACUAGUACUAAAACUGUUUCUACUUCUAAGUCUGGAGCAGAUGUUUUAUGGAAAGAUAUGGAUAAUAUAACAUGUUUUGAUUCCUCUAUUGAUGAUGAACUUGAUUCUCAAGGAUUAGAAAAUAUUAAAGAUGAAGAAGGCAAGGAACAACUUUUGUCAUGGUGGAGAGAGCGUGGCAAGACUUUUCCAACACUUUCAAUUAUGGC
This 281-nucleotide long non-coding RNA is filed under the name Nicotiana benthamiana. Its description in RNAcentral is "long non-coding RNA (NBEN_LNC012632)". Lineage: Eukaryota; Viridiplantae; Streptophyta; Magnoliopsida; Solanales; Solanaceae. The record is from RNAcentral.